This 528-nucleotide long non-coding RNA is filed under the name Calidris pugnax (ruff). RNAcentral describes it as "lncRNA (ENSCPUG00000006986.1)". Lineage: Eukaryota; Metazoa; Chordata; Aves; Charadriiformes; Scolopacidae. The record is from RNAcentral.
CAAGGAGAUGUCAAGUGGCACUAAUUGCUCCAGCUGUUGUAAGGGACAAGGAUCUUAUCCUGAAGCUGCCCUAUGAGACCAGUUUCCUUAUUUUUCUGCUCCACUUCAUUAUGUGGAUGAUCAAUGUGUUUUCACUGAAACAUCAAGGAGCCAGUCACAAAAAGGAGUGUGUGAAAUGUUUGGACCUCUGGGAUCAGACAGAGAACUGGAAAUCAGGAUUUCUGGCUUCUCUUCCUCCAUCUCCACCACCCGCCUCUCUCCUGCUCUCUGAUCAUGGAGAAGCCUCUCGGUCUGGGUGGUUAGACAGGAUACUACAGAGAGUGAAAUUAGCUGAGGAAAAAGCAGAUGCACCUCUGUAAUGGCGUUACAGAAAUAAUGGAAGAAGUUCAGCCUCUCCUUGAAGCACCGGGGAGCAUCAGGCCCCUGUGGAUGGGUGACAGCGGUGCUGAGGCAUCAGCGCUUCACACCUUUCCCAGCAUCUCCCACAUGAUUGCAGUGACUUUGCUGUUGCCAGCAUCUUUGAGGUCC